AUGAACGCUGGCGGCGUGCCUAAUACCUGCAAGUCGAGCGAACAGACGAGGAGCUUGCUCCUCUGACGUUAGCGGCGGACGGGUGAGUAACACGUGGAUAACCUACCUAUAAGACUGGGAUAACUUCGGGAAACCGGAGUUAAUACCGGAUAAUAUAUUGAACCGCAUGGUUCAAUAGUGAAAGACGGUUUUGCUGUCACUUAUAGAUGGAUCCGCGCCGCAUUAGCUAGUUGGUAAGGUAACGGCUUACCAAGGCAACGAUGCGUAGCCGACCUGAGAGGGUGAUCGGCCACACUGGAACUGAGACACGGUCCAGACUCCUACGGGAGGCAGCAGUAGGGAAUCUUCCGCAAUGGGCGAAAGCCUGACGGAGCAACGCCGCGUGAGUGAUGAAGGUCUUCGGAUCGUAAAACUCUGUUAUUAGGGAAGAACAAAUGUGUAAGUAACUAUGCACGUCUUGACGGUACCUAAUCAGAAAGCCACGGCUAACUACGUG
RNAcentral lists this ribosomal RNA (496 nucleotides) under uncultured bacterium. Its description in RNAcentral is "partial 16S ribosomal RNA". It matches the Rfam family "Bacterial small subunit ribosomal RNA", at positions 29 to 507 of the family's 1533-position model. The record is from RNAcentral.